AACGAACGCUGGCGGCGUGCCUAACACAUGCAAGUCGUGCGAGAAAGUUCCUUCGGGAGCGAGUAAAGCGGCGCACGGGGUGAGUAACACGUAGGUAACCUGCCCCCCAGUCUGGAACAACUAGAGGAAACUCUAGCUAAUGCCGGAUGAGACCACGAUCCCUUCGGGGGUUGCGGCCAAAGAUGGCCUCUACUUGUAAGCUAUCGCUGAGGGAUGGGCCUGCGGGCCAUUAGCUUGUUGGUGAGGUAACGGCUCACCAAGGCUGUGAUGGCUAGCUGGUCUGAGAGGAUGACCAGCCACACUGGGACUGAGACACGGCCCAGACUCCUACGGGAGGCAGCAGUGGGGAAUAUUGCGCAAUGGGCGAAAGCCUGACGCAGCGACGCCGCGUGGGUGAGUGAAGGCCUGUCGUAGUACCGUACGUACGUCGACGGACGGAAGGUAA
RNAcentral lists this ribosomal RNA (445 nucleotides) under uncultured bacterium. RNAcentral's name for it is "bacterial SSU rRNA". It matches the Rfam family "Bacterial small subunit ribosomal RNA", at positions 29 to 459 of the family's 1533-position model. The record is from RNAcentral.